AAGACUUAAAAUAAUAAUAAUUAAAAAAAAUCCCACCCUUGGGCUCCAGGCUGCGGGGCUGGAGAUGGGAGGUGCUGUAGCACCAGGAUUCCCCACGGGGAUGCUCAGCACCAGCCUGGCUGCAGCUGCAGGGCUGGGGCUGCGUCCCCCCUUGUAAUGACAGGAUAAGAAGGGACCGGGUCAGCCAAAGUGCCUGCGCUGGGCAGGGGCUGCCAGCCAAGGGCCGGGUGGGGAGCAGCUGAGCUGCAGCACCGCAACUGCAGCCCUGCAGUGAGAGCAGCGAGCGGGGAGCAGCGCUGAGCCCCAACCCCUGCAGCAGUGAGCGGCUCCUGGCUUAGCGAGGCAAAACGCACAGCUUGGCGAGGAGCAACGCGCACAGAGAGAGCUGGAAGGCAGCACGGGAAGCAGAGCAGGGCAGGGCAGAGCAGCGCUGGUGUCAGCGGCGGCACACAGCUCCCAAUGCCCGCAAGCUUGCUACAGGGAAAGGGGUGAAGGAGAGGCAGGGACGGGAAAUCAAACUAUGCUGCAGGAUUUGGGGCUGUUCCAACCUAACAAAGCAGCCGGGUGACCCCGAGGAGCAGCAGAAAGCACCCGGAGCCCCUCCGCCACCGCUGCAGCACGCGCUUCCUGCAUCCAUCCAUCCCAAGGCAGCCCGCAGUAACGCAGCAGAAAGACAAGGGUCAUGCUGAGCCGCAUCCUCCUCGCACACAACAGCCGAGCGGCAGCACCGAACAUGCAUGGCUCAGCCGUGCCGCCACGCCACGCCGGAACGGAGAGCCUUAAAAUAAGCAAUUACCCGACGUUAUGAUGUGAAACCUUUCAUCUGACGGCGAAGCCCUGCAGAACGCUGUGCCACCCGCAGCGCCACGCAGGCAGAUUGGGGUGACAGCCCCCAAUUGGGGACAGCAUCUCUGCGCCUUCAGGAACAGCUGAGGCACCCACGGCAAAGCCCACCAUACACGUCAGCUGUAGGGCUGAGCCAGGCCCUGCAUUUCCAGUGGCUGCAGGACAGAUGUGCAAUGAACACCCAACCUACACAGCCCCAGACAGGCGCUCGCUUCUGUCCCAU
Long non-coding RNA from Gallus gallus (chicken), 1069 nucleotides. NCBI's taxonomy places the organism in Eukaryota, Metazoa, Chordata, Aves, Galliformes, Phasianidae. The record is from Ensembl.